CACAAUCGAAUCAUUUAUAUGAGCAUAUAAGGCAAAACAUUUCUUUUGUCUCUUUUAUAUGAAGUCAUUUUAGAAGAGCUUACACUUUCGUCUCUUAAUUGCCUUAUCAAUGACCGAGUGGCUAACACUGCUUAAUGUUGGGAAUUCGAUCACAGGCGAAAAGUCUGGCGAACGGGCUCAUAGGCGAAAAGAAUUUUUCGAUGUCAGGAAACUGAAGGAAUUCAGAGUACUGUCUUUGGGAUUCAACACCGGACCUGCCCAAUGCUAGCCCAUGCUCUAUCCAAUCACGCCACGAAGGAGAUUAUAAUAUAUGCAAAGGAUUCUAAUGUGCAGUUAAAACUGAUUUGGUUUGUUCAUUAUCAUCUUCUACUUCUUGAAGCUUCUCUUGAAAAGAUCAUGCCGACGUAAUUUCCUUCUUCAAAAAAAGGACACAGAAGUCUGAAUGGAAAAUAUUUCUUCACUUAUGAAACAGUCAAUCUACAUUAUCAUAUUAAAACAUUCAAAAAGAAAUUUUUGAUACUUUAAAAUUCUUUUAAAUCACAUCCAGGAAGAAAAGAAGCUGUUGUAUUAUACUUGGUGUAAAAUCUUUUAUUUAUCUUCUAUUUAUAGCAGUACAUUUCUCAUGUAAUUUUAACAAAAAUGGGCUGUCAAAGAAAAAGGUAAUAUUUUUAUAUGCUUCUGCACAUAGAACGAAGAGUGUUGCUUUUACAUUAUAUAAAAAUCCCUGUCCUGUCAAAAGUGACGAGUUAUAAGAGAAGAAAUAACGUAUAAGUAACUCUUGAUAAGUAACUCUUGAUAAGUAACUCUUGAUAAGUACUGCCACUGUGCGAAACAUAAGAACUUUAAUUUAUCUUCUACGCUUCCUAAGACAUAAUAUUCUCAGAAAGCUGUCAUUCAACAAAACAUAAGAUCUUUAAUUUACCUACCAUAUUUAAUCAGUAUGUUCUUGAUUAAUAAACUGGUCGAUUUA
Stegodyphus dumicola is the source of this 970-nucleotide long non-coding RNA. RefSeq lists it as uncharacterized. Lineage: Eukaryota; Metazoa; Arthropoda; Arachnida; Araneae; Eresidae. The record is from RefSeq and is a predicted model, not a curated record.